GGGGGGGGGGGGGGGGCUUCUCCAUGUUCGCUAAUUAAAUGAUGUAAUAAGCUGGACAGUGGUGCCACACGCCUUUAACCCCAGCACUCAGAGGGCAGAAGCAGGAGGAUCUCUGGGAUGAGGCCAGCCUAGUCUACAGAAUGAGCUCUAGGACAGACAAAAAGGCUACACAGAAAAACUGUCUCCAACCUACCCCUCAAUACCCCAAAAAAGUAAUAAAUUUAGUUAGAAUUUUUAAAAACAUUUACUUAUUUUAUACAUGUAAGUACACUGUAGCUGUUUUCAGACACACCAGAAGAGAGCAUCAGAUCCCAUCACAGAUGGUUGUGAGCCACUAUGUGGUUGCUGGGAUUUGAACUCAGGACCCCUGGAAGAGCAGACAGUGCUCUUAACCACUGAGCCAUCUCUCCAGCCUCUAAUUAGAAUUUUUUAAGCUACAUUUUUUUUCAAGGUGGAAAUGGCAGUUUAUUUUACAUCUACUCAGAGCCCCAUCAUUCAUUCUUUCUUUCCUUCCUUCCUUCCUUCCUUCCUUCCUUCCUUCCUUCUGCUUAGGAUUCCUUUGAAAGGUUAGAGAACACUAACCCUAACAUGCCGUGUGUUUCACUAAGACAAUGCAACCCUG
RNAcentral lists this long non-coding RNA (622 nucleotides) under Rattus norvegicus (Norway rat). RNAcentral's name for it is "long non-coding RNA NONRATT007472". The record is from RNAcentral. Lineage: Eukaryota; Metazoa; Chordata; Mammalia; Rodentia; Muridae.